GCACUGCUGAAGAGUCCCAUAAUAGGACGAAACGACCUUCCAGUGC
Molecule: non-coding RNA, 46 nt
Filed under: Schistosoma mattheei
Lineage: Eukaryota; Metazoa; Platyhelminthes; Trematoda; Strigeidida; Schistosomatidae
Source: RNAcentral